This 382-nucleotide long non-coding RNA is filed under the name Malus domestica (apple). RNAcentral describes it as "long non-coding RNA (MDOM_LNC007899)". The record is from RNAcentral. Lineage: Eukaryota; Viridiplantae; Streptophyta; Magnoliopsida; Rosales; Rosaceae.
AUUACAAUGGAGAAGACAUCGUCGUCGACUAAUUCUAACUCGAACACAUUACCCUUCUUCGUUUUGAUCGAUGCAAUCUUGUUGCACGCGAUUUCUAACUGCUUAAGUAGAGUUCAGAAUGUUUUUUCAAGGUUUCAGUCUGUUCUCCUCCAAUCCCAAGACAGUUGUUGUAACUCGACAAAGGUUUUGAAUGAGAAGAAGUCGGCUUCUGAGCCAAGGCGAUUGCAGAUGACCUUCGAGAAGAGAGGUGAUGAUGGGAGUUUGAGAAGAGAAGAUGUGCAUAUGGUGAUGGGAGACUUGGGAGUUUUUUGCAGUCCAGAAGGUGAGCAACUGCCGGAGACGCUUAGUUCCGAUGAGCUUUCAGGGCUGUUUGAUGAGAAGG